Xyrauchen texanus (razorback sucker) is the source of this 474-nucleotide long non-coding RNA. RefSeq lists it as uncharacterized. The transcript is spliced from 3 exons. The record is from RefSeq and is a predicted model, not a curated record. NCBI's taxonomy places the organism in Eukaryota, Metazoa, Chordata, Actinopteri, Cypriniformes, Catostomidae.
CAAAGCAAAAGCAAGCACAAGCACAAGCACAGUAUCUAAGCAACCAGACAUAGGUGGCAACCCUAGAUACAAGACAACACACACUUCUAGGGAAUCGACAGUGUGAGCAUUUCAAAAAUUGACCGUGUCCUCCAUCGUAACAGGAUGCGAAUGAAACAAGUAUACAGAGUACCUUCUGAGCGCAACUCACCAAGGGAGAAAGAACUGCGAGCUCAGUAUGUGCAAACAAUAUUUGACUUGGAAUCCUUGGACAGACCCCAUGAGUUAAUCUUUGUCGAUGAAGCUGGCUUCUAUCUAACAAAGAGGAGAAGGAGAGGCCGAAACAUGAUUGGACAGCGGGCCAUUGUUGAAGUCCCUGGUCAACGAGGUGGCAAUGUCACAAUCUGUGCUGCUAUUAGCAACCAUGGUGUUCUACAUCACCAUGUUACACUCGGGCCAUAUAACACCCAGCACCUUCUAAGAUUUAUGGCCAAU